UACGACUACAUAUCAGGCAUAUCAAUAAGCGGAGGAAAAGAAACUAACAAGGAUUCCCUUAGUAACGGCGAGUGAAGCGGGAAGAGCUCAAAUUUGAAAUCUUCAAGGUUUUACCUUGACGAAUUGUAGUUUAAAGAAGUGUUUUCUGUUGAAGUUUCGGUAAAAGUUCUUUGGAAUAGGACAUCAUAGAGGGUGAGAAUCCCGUAUUUGACCGUUAUUUUCAGCUGUGUGAUACACUUUCAAAGAGUCGGAUUGUUUGGGAAUGCAGUCCAAAAUGGGUGGUAAAUUUCAUCUAAAGCUAAAUAUUGGCGAGAGACCGAUAGCGAACAAGUACCGUGAGGGAAAGAUGAAAAGAACUUUGAAAAGAGAGUUAAACAGUACGUGAAAUUGUCAAAAGGGAAGCGUUUGACACCAGUGUUGUUUUCUCGAAAAUCAAUUAAAAAUGACCGGAUUUUGUGUUGUAUUGACUUUAUCAGCUUUCUGCACUUUUUUCUUGUCUUUUUUAAUGCACUUUUCGUUUAACAAGUCAACAUCAAUUUCUUUUGUUGUAAAAGAGUCAUUGGAAGGUGGCUUUCAUUUCGGUGAAAGUGUUUAUAGCCUUUGACUUCUGCAAUCGGGGAGAUUGAGGUCUGCAGCGUAGAUCCUUCGGGGUUAGAUACGUAGAUGCUAAGUUAUAGUUUUUUAUAGACAACUUGUUGACUAUAAUUAAUCAUGUAGCUUACUCGUUUGCGCUAUUUUACCUACGCUUAGGAUGUUGAACGCGCACAGAGUCUC
This 774-nucleotide ribosomal RNA is filed under the name uncultured Neocallimastigales. RNAcentral describes it as "partial large subunit ribosomal RNA". It matches the Rfam family "Eukaryotic large subunit ribosomal RNA", at positions 24 to 614 of the family's 3401-position model. Lineage: Eukaryota; Fungi; Neocallimastigomycota; Neocallimastigomycetes; Neocallimastigales. The record is from RNAcentral.